GACGAACGCUGGCGGCGUGCCUAAUACAUGCAAGUCGAACGCAGUGGGGACGGGUGAGUAACACGUGGGUAACCUCCCAUCAGAGGGUCUACCACUUGGAAACAGGUGCUAAACCUAUACUGAUGGAUGGACCCGCGGUGCAUUAGCUAGUUGGUGCGUUAACGGCGCACCAAGGCCACGAUGCAUAGCCGACCUGAGAGGGUGAUCGGACACACUGGGACUGGGACACGGCCCAGCCUCCUACGGGAGGCAGCAGUAGGGAAGCUUCGGCAAUGGACUAAAGUCUGACCGAGCAACGCCGCGUGAGUGAAGAAGGUUUUAGGAUCGUAAAACUCUGUUGUUAGAGAAGCGGUAUCUAACCAGAAAGCCACGGCUAACUACGUGCCAGAAGCCGCGGUAAUAC
RNAcentral lists this ribosomal RNA (403 nucleotides) under uncultured bacterium. RNAcentral's name for it is "partial 16S ribosomal RNA". It matches the Rfam family "Bacterial small subunit ribosomal RNA", at positions 28 to 526 of the family's 1533-position model. The record is from RNAcentral.